This 315-nucleotide unclassified non-coding RNA is filed under the name uncultured Tricholoma. RNAcentral's name for it is "sequence contains ITS2". The stretch from base 1 to 52 matches the Rfam family "5.8S ribosomal RNA", at positions 103 to 154 of the family's 154-position model. Lineage: Eukaryota; Fungi; Basidiomycota; Agaricomycetes; Agaricales; Tricholomataceae. The record is from RNAcentral.
AACGCACCUUGCGCUCCUUGGUAUUCCGAGGAGCAUGCCUGUUUGAGUGUCAUUAAAUUCUCAACCUUUUCAAUCUUUUAUUGGUUGAAUUAGGUUUGGAUGUGGGAGUCUUUUUGCUGGCUUCUUUAAGAGGUCGGCUCUCCUUAAAUUUAUUAGCAGGACCUUUGUUGCCCUCUCAGUGUUAGUGUGAUAAUUAUCUACGCUAUUUGCUGAAAGCAACUCAUAAAAUAGGGUUUCCAGCUGCUAAUCGUCUCUUGUAGACAAUUUAUAUGACAAUUUGACCUCAAAUCAGGUAGGACUACCCGCUGAACUUAA